GCGGGUAUAACUCAGUCCGGUCAGAGUGUCAGCCUUCCAAGCUGUUCGUCAUCGGUUCAAAUCCGAUUACCCGCU
Molecule: transfer RNA, 75 nt
Filed under: Ralstonia phage RSP15
Lineage: Duplodnaviria; Heunggongvirae; Uroviricota; Caudoviricetes; Pantevenvirales; Ackermannviridae
Rfam family: tRNA
About the family: Transfer RNA (tRNA) molecules are approximately 80 nucleotides in length.
Source: Rfam by way of RNAcentral